UAGGGAAUCUUCGGCAAUGGGGGCAACCCUGACCGAGCAACGCCGCGUGAGUGAAGAAGGUUUUCGGAUCGUAAAGCUCUGUUGUAAGAGAAGAACGUGUGUGAGAGUGGAAAGUUCACACAGUGACGGUAACUUACCAGAAAGGGACGGCUAACUACGUGCCAGCAGCCGCGGUAAUACGUAGGUCCCGAGCGUUGUCCGGAUUUAUUGGGCGUAAAGCGAGCGCAGGCGGUUUAAUAAGUCUGAAGUUAAAGGCAGUGGCUUAACCAUUGUUCGCUUUGGAAAAUGUUAAACUUGAGUGCAGGAGGGGAGAGUGGAAUUCCAUGUGUAGCGGUGAAAUGCGUAGAUAUAUGGAGGAACACCGGUGGCGAAAGCGGCUCUCUGGUCUGUAACUGACGCUGAGGCUCGAAAGCGUGGGGAGCAAACAGG
This 429-nucleotide ribosomal RNA is filed under the name bacterium. RNAcentral's name for it is "partial 16S ribosomal RNA". It matches the Rfam family "Bacterial small subunit ribosomal RNA", at positions 355 to 776 of the family's 1533-position model. The record is from RNAcentral.